UAGGGAAUAUUGGACAAUGGGGGCAACCCUGAUCCAGCCAUGCCGCGUGAGUGAAGAAGGCCCUCGGGUUGUAAAGCUCUUUUGUCCGGAAAGAAAAGCAUCGGGUUAAUACCCCGGGGUUCUGACGGUACCGGAAGAAUAAGCACCGGCUAAAUUCGUGCCAGCAGCCGCGGUAAUACGAAGGGUGCAAGCGUUACUCGGAAUUACUGGGCGUAAAGCGUGCGUAGGUGGUUGUUUAAGUCUGAUGUGAAAGCCCUGGGCUCAAGCUGGGAAUGGCAUUGGAAACUGGGCAGCUGGAGUGCUGUAGAGGGUAGUGGAUUACCCGGUGGAGCCGUGAAAUGCGUAGAGAUCGGGAGGAACAUCUGUGGCGAAGGCGACUGCCUGGACCAGCACUGACACUGAGGCACGAAAGCGUGGGGAGCAAA
This 425-nucleotide ribosomal RNA is filed under the name uncultured bacterium. RNAcentral describes it as "bacterial SSU rRNA". It matches the Rfam family "Bacterial small subunit ribosomal RNA", at positions 355 to 772 of the family's 1533-position model. The record is from RNAcentral.